RNAcentral lists this long non-coding RNA (1934 nucleotides) under Marmota monax (woodchuck). The record is from RNAcentral. Lineage: Eukaryota; Metazoa; Chordata; Mammalia; Rodentia; Sciuridae.
CACCUUUUUUUUUUUUUUUUUUGGUCCCGAAUCCAUCAAGAAAACAAUCCGUUUUUUCCACUUAAAGACUUCCAUUUGGGAGGGAUCCUUUGGCCGUGAUGAUGGUGAUGGUGAUGGAAGGGUCGUAGAGGGGCGGAGGGGAUUGUUCACAACUUUGCCAGGACAUGGAGGGUGGGAGGACCUGAGAGGGAGGAACAAAAGUCGUUUUGUUUGGUGAUGCAGGGUUGACCGGGCAGCCACGGAAGCCCUCACCCAGGAAAGCAGAGAGUUGUUUGCUUGUUUACAGCGAAGGUGAGAGUCAAGUUAUCUAUUGAGAAUCCAACGGGGAGGGGGGAGUGUGUCUCUGGGCCUGAAAUCUAUUUGUGGACUUCAAAGAGGCAUGCUCGGAUCAAGUCCCAAAGCUUUGGCAUGAUGUUUAUUAGCCCAGUUAAAUGUAUUGCAAAUUAAUACCCACAGUGGCAUUUAUGAAUGAGAGGGGGAAAACAUCAACUUCCCUCAUCGCCUGGCAAAUUCCCAGGCAGAGGUCUUCCCCCCCUCCACCACCCCCCUCCUCGGUAUGUUGUACUUGUUUGUUUUUGGAGGUUCCCACUUUAGUUCCAGCCCACUGCCUGGGUUGGAAGUCCAAGAGGAAACUCUGGGAGUUCUCCGGGAGGCUGACUUAUACUUCCUUACGGAUGCGGGAGACCGGGUAAGCCCUCCCAGCCUCCCUCCGCGGGCAGCCGGGGAUGUGAACUAAGCAGUGAGCCAGAAGUCGAGGGGACCACCGUGGAGUGAUUUGGCUUGAAAUCAUCACCUACGAAUGCUGCCAGGCCCAAACAGAUUUCAGCAGUAUAGUUGUGCCCGGUAGAUCUCUGGAAAAGGUAGAAUCCUUACAGCUGAAAGUUUUGCGGGAUCUUUAAUUCCUCUCCUUGGGAACCUUCGGAAACCUUCCAUUUCAAAUGAAUUGCAAUGCCUAAGUACAGAAAAAUAAAGAAUUUAGGAUGUAACAUGCUUUAAUAAAAAUGUCAACAGAUUUUAAGAUCCUGUUCUACCAUGAACGCACAGUAAGGGACCCCUCACAAGACAAUUUAUAUGAACAUCACCAAUAUGUUAGUGUGGUUUAUUUUUCCUAAAAGUUUCAAAAAUUAUCUUCUUGUAUAAUUUAAAGAAAAGCAUUAUGUCUGGUUCCCCUUCGUAUAUGCUUUAGUAUGACCACUCUUCCUUUUUAAUAUUUAGGGCUGUUCAGUCUUCGCAUUUUUGCAGUCUUGGUUAGGGAGGCCUACAGUGCUGACUUUUCUGUGAAUUAUUCUGAUGAACCCAAUGAGGAGCUAUUGGGAUGAAAACACUCCAAUGAAGACAAUUGUUGCAGGAAAGAGUUAAGUUCAUUCAUUCAAAAGUGCUCUUUCAUAAACUGAAGAGGUAUUUGCUGGAGGGCUCUCUGAGGCUCUCUGGGGGUGGGGACUUUUCAAGACAAUGGCUUGUCAGGUGUUAUGCAAAUAAAGGGAGAAAAGUCUGGGCCUUACUCCUUAGGGCAAGCCAAUUCAUCAAUUAUUAGAAAACUUCCCCCCCACACACACUAGUGUUUCAUUGUUUCCUUCCUGGGAGGAGGGGAGGGGGUGUGUAGGCACAGUACUGGGUGGGAGGAGGUGAUGGAGAGAGAGAAUGGAGAGGAGGGUUCCUGGCUUCUGCUGUGGCGUCUUUUCUAUUUGACUUCAUGGUUGUAAGUAUUUCCAGAUGGUGAAUCAGACACCAGACGUAACAAUAUUUCCAUAUUUGGGUAUAGCAGUAGCCUGCGUUUUUAACAUUUUUCUGCCUCUGUUAUCCAACCACAAAGCAUUCUUGACAGCUUCAAAUGUUGUUAAAUAUAGACUUAACUUCUGUUCCCAGAGCAGGAAAUUCUUUGGAAUUCCUUGUUUUUCACGCAAUCUGCCGAUCAUGAUUUCAAAUAAAAUUAC